AGAACGAACGCUGGCGGCAGGCCUCAAACAUGCAAGUCUAGGGGGUGCAGCAAUGCAUCACCGGCGGACGGGUGCGUAACGCGUGGGAAUAUACCUAUUGGUUCGGAACAACUGCGGGAAACUGCAGCUAAUACCGAAUGUGCCCGUAAGGGGAAAGAUUUAUCGCCAAUGGAUUAGCCCGCGUAGGAUUAGCUAGUUGGUGGGGUAAUGGCUCACCAAGGCUCCGAUCCUUAGCUGUUCUGAGAGGAAGAUCAGCCACACUGGGACUGAGACACGGCCCAGACUCCUACGGGAGGCAGCAGUUGGGAAUCUUGGACAAUGGGGGAAACCCUGAUCCAGCCAUGCCGCGUGAGUGAUGAAGGCCUUCGGGUUGUAAAACUCUUUCGACGGGACGAUAAUGACGGUACCGUAGAAGAGCUCCGGCUAACUUCGUGCCAGCAGCCGC
Molecule: ribosomal RNA, 445 nt
Filed under: uncultured bacterium
Lineage: Bacteria
Description: SSU rRNA
Rfam family: Bacterial small subunit ribosomal RNA
Source: RNAcentral